This 408-nucleotide ribosomal RNA is filed under the name uncultured bacterium. RNAcentral's name for it is "bacterial SSU rRNA". It matches the Rfam family "Bacterial small subunit ribosomal RNA", at positions 350 to 751 of the family's 1533-position model. The record is from RNAcentral.
AGCAGUGGGGAAUUUUGGACAAUGGGCGCAAGCCUGAUCCAGCAAUGCCGCGUGAGUGAAGAAGGCCUUCGGGUUGUAAAGCUCUUUUGUCAGGGAAGAAACGGUGAAGGCUAAUAUCCUUUGCUAAUGACGGUACCUGAAGAAUAAGCACCGGCUAACUACGUGCAGCAGCCGCGGUAAUACGUAGGGUGCAAGCGUUAAUCGGAAUUACUGGGCGUAAAGCGUGCGCAGGCGGUUUUGUAAGUUUGUCGUGAAAGCCCCUGGCUCAACCUGGGAAUUGCGAUGAAGACUGCAAGGCUUGAAUCUGGCAGAGGGGGGUAGAAUUCCACGUGUAGCAGUGAAAUGCGUAGAGAUGUGGAGGAACACCGAUGGCGAAGGCAGCCCCCUGGGUCAAGAUUGACGCUCAUG